GGUGAAGGGGCCUGCUUUUGUGGGUCCUGGAUGAGUGGCGAACGGGUGAGUAACACGUGAGUAACCUGCCCCCUUCUUCUGGAUAACCGCAUGAAAGUGUGGCUAAUACGGGAUAUUCUGUGCCUGCUGCAUGGUGGGUGUGGGAAAGAUUGCGCCCUUUUUGGGUGUUUUUGGUGGGGGAUGGGCUCGCGGCCUAUCAGCUUGUUGGUGGGGUGAUGGCCUACCAAGGCGGUGACGGGUAGCCGGCCUGAGAGGGUGGACGGUCACACUGGGACUGAGACACGGCCCAGACUCCUACGGGAGGCAGCAGUGGGGAAUAUUGCACAAUGGGCGCAAGCCUGAUGCAGCGACGCCGCGUGAGGGAUGGAGGCCUUCGGGUUGUGAACCUCUUUCGCCAGUGAAGCAGGCCUGCUCCUUGGUGGGUGGGUUGACGGUAGCUGGAUAAGAAGCGCCGGCUAACUACGUGCCAGCAGCCGCGGUAAUACGUAGGGCGCGAGCGUUGUCCGGAAUUAUUGGGCGUAAAGAGCUCGUAGGCGGCUGGUCGCGUCUGUCGUGAAAUCCUCUGGCUUAACUGGGGGCUUGCGGUGGGUACGGGCCGGCUUGAGUGCGGUAGGGGAGGCUGGAACUCCUGGUGUAGCGGUGGAAUGCGCAGAUAUCAGGAAGAACACCGGUGGCGAAGGCGGGUCUCUGGGCCGUUACUGACGCUGAGGAGCGAAAGCGUGGGGAGCGAACAGGAUUAGAUACC
This 745-nucleotide ribosomal RNA is filed under the name Actinomyces oris. RNAcentral describes it as "bacterial SSU rRNA". It matches the Rfam family "Bacterial small subunit ribosomal RNA", at positions 65 to 786 of the family's 1533-position model. Lineage: Bacteria; Bacillati; Actinomycetota; Actinomycetes; Actinomycetales; Actinomycetaceae. The record is from RNAcentral.